UGCUAAUACCCCACUAGGUGGAUUGGUCGCAUGACGAAUUCAUUAAAGGUGGCUUUGCUACCACUCAUGGAUAGCCUCGCGGCGUAUUAGCUAGUUGGUAAGGUAAUGGCUUACCAAGGCAGUGAUACGUAGCCGACUUGAGAGGGUGAUCGGCCACACUGGGACUGAGACACGGCCCAG
This 180-nucleotide ribosomal RNA is filed under the name uncultured Carnobacteriaceae bacterium. RNAcentral's name for it is "partial 16S ribosomal RNA". It matches the Rfam family "Bacterial small subunit ribosomal RNA", at positions 161 to 334 of the family's 1533-position model. Lineage: Bacteria; Bacillati; Bacillota; Bacilli; Lactobacillales; Carnobacteriaceae. The record is from RNAcentral.